Long non-coding RNA from Mus musculus (house mouse), 874 nucleotides. RefSeq annotates it as predicted gene, 34412. NCBI's taxonomy places the organism in Eukaryota, Metazoa, Chordata, Mammalia, Rodentia, Muridae. The record is from RefSeq and is a predicted model, not a curated record. The transcript is spliced from 3 exons.
UCCUGUAGGCCCUCCAUCAGCAAGGCCUGGCUCUGGGUGUGACCCGAGGUCCUGACUCAUCUCUACUCUCAUCCUGGUGACUAAUGACUCUGGGCAAGGCAGAAGACUGUGUGGGGGACAAGAAUCCUGGGUUCGACCUUGAACUUAAGAGGCUGCAAGCCCUGAGCAAAGUUACCGACAAGCCAGGGGUAACCCGAGCCAGCCCUUAGAUGGAAACACUGGCCUGGUGGCUGGCCGGACUGCCAGCACUGGCAUCCCCAGUGGAUCCGAGCCUCCCGGCUCCAUUUCACCAGCCUCUGUUCUGCACAGCCCUUUCUCUGGAGCAACAAAGCCUCUCCUGCUCAUCAGGCCCUGAGAAAGGGCCAGACACUGGGCUAACUACUUUACACACGAAACGUUUGCACCACAAAAGACUGAAACCUUGAGUCAGUCAGUCUCCACUGAGCCACAAGCUUCCUGGAAGCCCCUUCAAGAGACGAGGAUGACAUCCCAGAGUGAGGCUCACAAAGGGACCCCAUCUCCCCACCAGAUGUCAAGCUACCUGAUCAAAGGCUUGGUUCAGGGUGCCCCAUGACAGAAGCCCUGGGAUGAGUUGGUGGGCCCCCAGCCCAAAUCCAGCUGCCCUCCUCGACGACAGGAAAGAAACUCUUGGACGGUUCUUAAGGCUUGAAAUAAAGUUUAAAUAUUACUUGGAAAUUACUAAACAAAUCAAAUCACUGUUAAGUGGAUGUCGUGGGCUUCCUCUAGACAAUACGUUUAAUGAAGAUUAUUGUCCUCCUGGUUAUAGUUUGAGAUUUGCAUUUUAUUAUCAGAGAACCACUUAUGCAUUACUCCAGGAUUUUCAUUAGGUAAAUAAAUUUUUAUGUGGAUUUCA